RNAcentral lists this transfer RNA (70 nucleotides) under Trigonopterus tounensis. RNAcentral describes it as "tRNA-Val". The record is from RNAcentral. Lineage: Eukaryota; Metazoa; Arthropoda; Insecta; Coleoptera; Curculionidae.
CAGGCCAGAGCUGGAAGAAAAGCGUUUUAUUUACAUUAAAGAGAUUGUUAUUUGUUGUAAUGUGGCCUGA